Molecule: ribosomal RNA, 529 nt
Filed under: Chloropepla vigens
Lineage: Eukaryota; Metazoa; Arthropoda; Insecta; Hemiptera; Pentatomidae
Also listed under: 1 other name
Description: partial large subunit ribosomal RNA
Rfam family: Eukaryotic large subunit ribosomal RNA
Source: RNAcentral
CCAAGGAGUCUAGCGUGUGCGCGAGUCAUUGGGUGUAAAACCUAAAGGCGCAAUGAAAGUGUCAGGGGUGCCUCCUUUAGGAGCGCUCCCCGUCGGGAGGAUGGGCCGCCGUACGAUCACUCGUCGGAGCCCCGCACUCCCGGGGCGUCUCGUUCUCAUCACGAGUGGAGACGCACCAGGAGCGCACACGCUGGUACCCGAAAGAUGGUGAACUAUGCCUGGCCAGGACGAAGCCAGGGGAAACCCUGGUGGAGGUCCGAAGCGAUUCUGACGUGCAAAUCGAUCGUCUGAGCUGGGUAUAGGGGCGAAAGACCAAUCGAACCAUCUAGUAGCUGGUUCCCUCUGAAGUUUCCCUCAGGAUAGCUGGCUCUCGGGAAGAGACGAGUCUCAUCCGGUAGAGCGAAUGAUUAGAGGUGAUGGGGUCGAAACGACUUCAACCUAUUCUCAAACUCCCAAUAGAUGAGAGCCCCGGCUUGCUUAAAAGUGAAGCCGCGGGACUCGGAUCAGAGAUGCCAAGUGGGCCAAUUUU